GACUGCUAUCGGAUGAUACUAAGCCAUGCGAGUCUUUGUAGUAAUACAAGGCAGACGGCUCAGUAACACGUAGUCAACCUACCCUAUGGACAAGAAUAAUCUCGGGAAACUGGGCAUAAUUCUUGAUAGAUCAUAAUGCCUGGAAUGGUUUAUGGUUAAAAUGAUUCGUCGCCAUAGGAUGGGACUGCGGCCUAUCAGCUUGUUGGUGAGGUAAUGGCCCACCAAGGCGAUUACAGGUACGGGCUCUGAGAGGAGAAGCCCGGAGAUGGGUACUGAGACACGGACCCAGGCCCUAUGGGGCGCAGCAGGCGAGAAAACUUUGCAAUGUGCGAAAGCACGACAAGGUUAAUCCGAGUGAUUUCUGCUAAAGAAAUCUUUUGCCAGUCAUAAAACCACUGGUGAAUAAGGGGUGGGCAAGUUCUGGUGUCAGCCGCCGCGGUAAAACCAGCACCUCAAGUGGUCAGGAUGAUUAUUGGGCCUAAAGCAUCCGUAGCCGGCUUUGUAAGUUUUCGGUUAAAUCCAUGUGCUCAACGCAUGGGCUGCCGAAAAUACUGCAUGGCUAGGGAGUGGGAGAGGUAGACGGUACUCAGUAGGAAGGGGUAAAAUCCUUUGAUCUAUUGAUGACCACCUGUGGCGAAGGCGGUCUACCAGAACACGUUCGACGGUGAGGGAUGAAAGCUGGGGGAGCAAACCGGAUUAGAUACCCGGGUAGUCCCAGCUGUAAACGAUGCAGACUCGAUGAUGCAUUGGCAUAAUAGCCAGUGCAGUGUCGCAGGGAAGCCGUUAAGUCUGCCGCCUGGGAAGUACGUACGCAAGUAUGAAACUUAAAGGAAUUGGCGGGGGAGCACCACAAGGGGUGAAGCCUGCGGUUCAAU
Molecule: ribosomal RNA, 875 nt
Filed under: uncultured marine group I thaumarchaeote
Lineage: Archaea; Thermoproteati; Nitrososphaerota
Description: SSU rRNA
Rfam family: Archaeal small subunit ribosomal RNA
Source: RNAcentral